UGCUGUUUGGGUGAUAAAUGUCAGGGUUA
RNAcentral lists this non-coding RNA (29 nucleotides) under Mus musculus (house mouse). The record is from RNAcentral. Lineage: Eukaryota; Metazoa; Chordata; Mammalia; Rodentia; Muridae.